GUCUUAUCAAGAGCGGUGGAGGGACUGGCCCUGUGAAACCCAGCAACCAAUAUAUCUAUAUAUGGUGCUAAAUCCUGCAGCAUUAUGCUGAAAGAUAAGUA
This is a regulatory RNA element of 101 nucleotides. It matches the Rfam family "SAM riboswitch aptamer (S box leader)". From Rfam's summary of the family: The SAM riboswitch is found upstream of a number of genes which code for proteins involved in methionine or cysteine biosynthesis in Gram-positive bacteria. The SAM riboswitch acts at the level of transcription termination control. The record is from Rfam.